UAACAAGGAUUCCCUGAGUAGCGGCGAGCGAAAGGGGAAAAGCCCAGCGCUGAAGCCCCUGCUUUUUAAACGGAGCAGCGGGCAAUGUAGCGUAAGGGAGCGGUUUUCUUCCGCCGCGCUGCAGGAACCCAAGUCCCCCUGACUGGGGCCAUCGCCCAUGGCGGGUGCAAGGCCCCUGCGGUUCCUGUGUACGCACGGCGCGGCGGUCGGCCGUCUCUCAGGAGUCGGGUUGCUUGAAAGUGCAGCCCUAAGUGGGUGGUAAACUCCAUCUAAGGCUAAAUACUUCCACGAGACCGAUAGCAAACAAGUACCGUGAGGGAAAGUUGAAAUAGAACUUUGGAGAGAGAGUUCAAGAGUACGUGAAACCGCUCAGAGGUAAACGGGUGGGCCCUCGAAGGUCGAACAGGGGGAUUCAACCCGUCGCCAUUGGGAGCGAGCUUAGCGCGUUUGCCUGACCGAGCGCGGCUGGUGAUCGACGCGAACUCGCGGACCAAAAAAUCCUUCCGUGCACUACGGCUUUGCGAAAUUCGAUUCUCGUUCUCGGGAACUUCGAAAAAACGGAUCCAAACGAGGCUCUCCUCACGGGGAGUUCUCAGUGACCGGACCGUAGCCCACGUGCGACGGAUGGCGGCGGGCGCACUUCCCCCUCAGUAGGACGCCGCGACCGGUCGGGAAACCAAAAGUUGCAGCACUGCGGCGGGGUUCAAACGAGAGCAGGUAUCUGUUGCCGGUAGGUCCACCUCCCUUCGCGGGGAGGUUACCCAUGUGGCCCCGGUCGGAGUUAUAGCUCUUCCUCGCCGAGCGCACUGCCUCCCGACCGAACUGUAACGUCUCGAGACUGACGACGCGUGCCCGCGUUGUUGUAAAAAACAAACGCUCGCCAUCGUCUGGGCAGGCUGGGCUUCAUUGUCGGCGGACGCCGCGAACGCGGCGGUCGUUCUGGCAUUGGGCCUGCCGUUAACGCCCAACGACGAGAUCUGGCGUGGUGGCAUAGCUCGCGGUCGGCGGCGAGUAGUNNNNNNNNNNNNNNNNNNNNNNNNNNNNNNNNNNNNNNNNNNNCUAACAUGUGCGCGAGUCGUAGGGCUCUGCAAAACCCGAAGGCGCAAUGAAAGUGAAGGUUCGCGUUGGGCUGAGGAUUUCUUCGCCGUCCGAGGUGGGUUCGUCCCUCUCGGUAUGCGGGUGCUUCUCCCUCGCGUGACCAAGGCGGGAUCCCCUCCAGAGAGCAUCGGUAACUAACGGCCAUCGCGCAUCAAACAGGCCGCCGAUUGUUCACAAGAAAAUUUCUGGAGCUAAGAAUACCGGGCGGACAAAGAACCCCCGGGGGGCGCACCGCCGGCCCGUCUCGACUGUGCCUUGAAAAACGCGGGUAUCGACGACCUUUUCUCUCGCCCCUUAACAAGGCGUGUGGAUUUGGCGUGCUGACCCGGUCCGUUUCUUGGCAAACCAGUGAGGCGGAGCAAGAGCGCACACGUUGGGACCCGAAAGAUGGUGAACUAUGCCCGGGCAGGACGAAGCCAGAGGAAACUCUGGUGGAGGUCCGUAGCGAUUCUGACGUGCAAAUCGAUCGUCGGACCUGGGUAUAGGGGCGAAAGACUAAUCGAACCAUCUAGUAGCUGGUUCCCUCCGAAGUUUCCCUCAGGAUAGCUGGUGCUCGGAGAAACAGUCUCAUGCGGUAAAGCGAAUGAUUAGAGGCCUUGGGGUCGAAACGACCUCAACCUAUUCUCAAACUUUCAAUGAGUGAGACGUCUGGCUUUCUUAAAACCGAAGCCCAGACUUUGGAUGCGAGUGCCCAGUGGGCCACUUUUG
This 1806-nucleotide ribosomal RNA is filed under the name Stigmatogaster gracilis. Its description in RNAcentral is "partial 28S ribosomal RNA". It matches the Rfam family "Eukaryotic large subunit ribosomal RNA", at positions 66 to 1139 of the family's 3401-position model. The record is from RNAcentral. Lineage: Eukaryota; Metazoa; Arthropoda; Chilopoda; Geophilomorpha; Himantariidae.